CCUACGGGUGGCAGCAGUGAGGAAUAUUGGUCAAUGGGCGGGAGCCUGAACCAGCCAAGCCGCGUGAGGGAAGAAGGUACAGCGUAUCGUAAACCUCUUAUGUCAGGGAACAAAGGCGGGGACUAGUCCCCGGAUGAGGGUACCUGAAGAAAAAGCAUCGGCUAACUCCGUGCCAGCAGCCGCGGUAAUACGGGGGAUGCGAGCGUUAUCCGGAUUUGGUGGGUUUAAAGGGUGCGCGGUGGGCCUGUUAAGUCAGCGGUAAAAGCCCGGGGUGAAACCCCGGCGAGCCGUUGAAACUGGCGGGCUGGAGUUGGUGAGAGGUACGCGGAAUGCGCGGUGUAGCAGUGAAAUGCUUAGAUAUCGCGCAGAACCCCGAUGGCGAAGGCAGCGUACCGGCUCCACACUGACGCUGAGGCACGAAAGCGUGGGUAUCGAACAGGAUUAGAUACCCCAGUAGUC
Molecule: ribosomal RNA, 459 nt
Filed under: uncultured bacterium
Lineage: Bacteria
Description: partial 16S ribosomal RNA
Rfam family: Bacterial small subunit ribosomal RNA
Source: RNAcentral